This 253-nucleotide ribosomal RNA is filed under the name uncultured bacterium. RNAcentral describes it as "partial 16S ribosomal RNA". It matches the Rfam family "Bacterial small subunit ribosomal RNA", at positions 524 to 776 of the family's 1533-position model. The record is from RNAcentral.
UACGUAGGGGGCAAGCGUUGUCCGGAUUUAUUGGGCGUAAAGAGCGUGUAGGCGGCCGUACAGGUCAGCUGUGAAAACUCGAGGCUCAACCUCGAGACGUCGGUUGAAACCGUAAGGCUAGAGUCCGGAAGAGGAGAGUGGAAUUCCCGGUGUAGCGGUGAAAUGCGCAGAUAUCGGGAAGAACACCCGUGGCGAAGGCGGCUCACUGGCCCGUAACUGACGCUCAUGCACGACAGCGUGGGGAUCAAACAGG